UGCGUCUCGACGCGGGUAAGGGUGAAAGGGUGGGGUAAGAGCCCACCGCGUCUCUGGUAACAGCGACGGCAUGGCAAGCCCCGCCUGGAGCAAGACCGAAUAGGGACGUCGCGCGGGUUCGCCCGCAGGGUUCACCGCCCGAGGCGUCCGGGUAGGUCGCGAGAACCAUCCGGCGACGGGUGGUCCAGAGGAAUGAUCGUCACCGCACCCCGGUGCGGGACAGAACCCGGCUUACAGGCCGUCUGGCAUU
RNAcentral lists this RNase P RNA (250 nucleotides) under Brevundimonas sp. RNAcentral describes it as "partial RNase P RNA component class A". It matches the Rfam family "Bacterial RNase P class A", at positions 131 to 367 of the family's 367-position model. From Rfam's summary of the family: Ribonuclease P (RNase P) is a ubiquitous endoribonuclease, found in archaea, bacteria and eukarya as well as chloroplasts and mitochondria. Its best characterised activity is the generation of mature 5'-ends of tRNAs by cleaving the 5'-leader elements of precursor-tRNAs. Lineage: Bacteria; Pseudomonadati; Pseudomonadota; Alphaproteobacteria; Caulobacterales; Caulobacteraceae. The record is from RNAcentral.